UACGAAGGGGGCUAGCGUUGCUCGGAAUCACUGGGCGUAAAGCGCACGUAGGCGGCUUCUUAAGUCAGGGGUGAAAUCCUGGAGCUCAACUCCAGAACUGCCUUUGAUACUGAGAAGCUUGAGUCCGGGAGAGGUGAGUGGAACUGCGAGUGUAGAGGUGAAAUUCGUAGAUAUUCGCAAGAACACCAGUGGCGAAGGCGGCUCACUGGACACAUAUUGACGCUGAGGUGCGAAAGCGUGGGGAGCAAACAGG
Molecule: ribosomal RNA, 253 nt
Filed under: uncultured bacterium
Lineage: Bacteria
Description: partial 16S ribosomal RNA
Rfam family: Bacterial small subunit ribosomal RNA
Source: RNAcentral